RNAcentral lists this ribosomal RNA (520 nucleotides) under uncultured bacterium. RNAcentral describes it as "bacterial SSU rRNA". It matches the Rfam family "Bacterial small subunit ribosomal RNA", at positions 8 to 518 of the family's 1533-position model. The record is from RNAcentral.
AGAGUUUGAUUCUGGCUCAGAACGAACGCUGGCGGCGCGUUUUAAGCAUGCAAGUCGAGCGGCAAGGGCCUUCGGGCCCCUAGAGCGGCGGACGGGUGAGUAACACGUGGACAAUCUGCCCCCGGCCCGGGAUAGCCCAGGGAAACCUGGAUUAAUACCGGAUGAGACGGGACCCGCGAUGGCGGGACCCGGGAAAGGCGCUGCGGCGCCGCCGGGGGAUGAGUCUGCGUCCCAUUAGCUAGACGGCGGGGUAACGGCCCACCGUGGCGACGAUGGGUAGCCGGCCUGAGAGGGUGGACGGCCACAUUGGAACUGAGACACGGUCCAGACUCCUACGGGAGGCAGCAGCUAAGAAUCUUCCGCAAUGGGCGAAAGCCUGACGGAGCGACGCCCGCGUGAACGAAGAAGGCCGUGAGGUUGUAAAGUUCUUUUCGGGAGGGGGAACAACCGUGGCAGGGAAUGGCCGCGGGAUGACGUGAAUCCCGGAAUAAGCCCCGGCUAACUACGUGCCAGCAGCCGC